RNAcentral lists this long non-coding RNA (326 nucleotides) under Populus trichocarpa (black cottonwood). Its description in RNAcentral is "long non-coding RNA (PTRI_LNC001562)". The record is from RNAcentral. Lineage: Eukaryota; Viridiplantae; Streptophyta; Magnoliopsida; Malpighiales; Salicaceae.
UGGUAAAUUGUGAACACUGUUCAUCAUGUCAAUUACAAAGGGAAUCACCGACGGAAAAUUCCGUCGGUAUUUUCCAGAGAGCUCCAGAACUGUUCACUUUUCAAUUGCACUGUUAAUUGUUGUUCUUUACGGACAAAAUCACCGACGGAUUGAAAAGUCAUCGGUGUUAUUUGGCGGUUUUCUGAAAAAAUUCAAUUAAUUUAAAAUUUUCAUUUAAAUAUUACAGACGAAAUCACCGACGGAUUGAAAAAUCGUCGGUAAUUGUUGGCGGUUUCUGAAAACUUUUUAUAAAAUUGAAAAUUUAAAUUAAAUAUUACCGAUGGAAU